Homo sapiens (human) is the source of this 334-nucleotide long non-coding RNA. RefSeq lists it as uncharacterized. The record is from RefSeq and is marked validated. Lineage: Eukaryota; Metazoa; Chordata; Mammalia; Primates; Hominidae. The transcript has 2 exons.
GGAACCAGCCAUGCAAAGAUCUGUGACAAGAACAUUCUAGGGCUAGAAUCUAGGACCACUUUGGACAUUCAAAGCAAAGGAAGGAAGAGGAAGGGGAGCAUGGGGGAGAUGAAACGCAAGGAAGGCAGAGUGUACAAUGUCUAUGUAAGCACAACAAGAAAGCAACUUAACUGCCUGCAGCAUCAGACCAAGUUCCUGGAUCAUAAGUUUGAAAGCAGCUUCUAGAUGACGCUUGUGGAUAUUUGGAAUAAUAUCUACUAAUUUCUGUUAAGCAGCUAUGUUUCAACUCCACUUCAAUAAAAACAGCCAAAUUUCUCUCCUGGAAAUUCUUAAA